CGGCCUUUUACACAGCACAGCACCCAGCCCUCGGCAGCCCAGAGCAGGAACCAACAGGGUAGGUGCCCAGGGGCCCCAAAGGUCAGAGUUCCUCGCACAGCUGCCAGGGAGCACAGGGACCGCAGCACAGGGUCUUCUGCUCAGCACCGGGACCCCGCUCGCUGCAGCUAAAGAAACAGAUACGUCCAAGGGCUCCACGGCCGGGGCCGGGCACCUGGAACAGGGUGGUCCUGGGGCGGCCACAUCCACUCCUUCCAGCUAACACUUCACAGAGAUGUCUGACUGAUGUCCACUGCUCAGCUGCACCCCUGAGCUGGUGAGCAUUCAGGUAGAGCACCCACCUCUACUUUUCUCACCCCGAAAAUCAGAGACUGGUUCUCAGCUGGUGCAGCCACCGCCCCAGCGUACCGGAUGCAGGACUUUCCCUGCGAACACUGGACAGUCCCAGCAAAGCAGACGGUGGGUCGCUCUGUAUCUCUGAAGAACAGCUGGGCCUGCGUGUGUCAUUCUCAGGCAUCUGGCCCAGGGCUUCUCCUCCAGGAAGGUGGCUGCUCAGCUCCGGGCACUGCCAGGGGCCACGGACCCCGCCUCCUUUCCAGGCUGUUCCACAGCAUCUGCCUUCAUACUCACAGCCACCGCGGCGUGCGUCCCAGGGAUUCUCAGAAUAGAAUUCUGUGCCUCUCUCGCCUCUGGAAGUGACCGCGCUCUGUAGGAAAAUAUCACAGCACGCCGGCCUCGAAAGGCCACGACGUGGCUCUAAACUGCUCUAAGUAUGUCAGUUACUUAGAACAAUCAGAAAGGGGCAGAACAAGCUGGGGUGUGGAGUCAGGGGUCAGGGCACAGACAGCACCUCUUGUCUUGCAGAGAGAAUGCUAGCAAUUUGCAAGUUACUUGAAAAGGUUUGUGAUUUUCCAACGCCCUGAGUAAUUCUAGCCAAAAUGCGUGACUCGCCUCACACUAGAUGCUUGCUGUAAUUGUGUCUCUGUAUUAAACUGACCGUUCUUUGGAGCUUCAGAAUGGACCAGGAGGAAAAGGUAAAUACCAACCUCGCUACAACCUCAGAGGCAUCAACGCCCUCCUGCUACAGACGCAUCUGUUCUCGCCUGGCUCCUGCCGGCUGCCCUGGGAGAGGCCACAAAAUGCCCUCCACGGAGACAAGGCCUGAGAACCUUCGGGACGCCCGCUGCCGCUCACUGUGUUGAAGAACUGCCCGUUCCGCACCCCGGGCCCUAGACACACGGCUCUGUGGAGGACGAGGAAGUGCCGUCAGGUGAGACUUCACCGUGAAAUAUCUUCUGAGACACAACAAUCUCCCUGAAUUAAAACUACAGACUCUAAUUUAUAAAAACUGUGUGUUUCAAAAGCUCCAAGUGUUUACAUUCUCCGAUUCAUCAUUCCUUCUUCUAAUUUAUUUUAGGAAAUAAUGCAAAGUACUCACAAAAAUUUAUAUAGAAAGAUGUUCAUUGCAGAA
RNAcentral lists this long non-coding RNA (1471 nucleotides) under Homo sapiens (human). RNAcentral's name for it is "novel transcript". The record is from RNAcentral. Lineage: Eukaryota; Metazoa; Chordata; Mammalia; Primates; Hominidae.